GAUGAACGCUAGCUACAGGCUUAACACAUGCAAGUCGAGGGGAAACGAUAGAGAAAGCUUGCUUUUUCUAGGCGUCGACCGGCGCACGGGUGAGUAACGCGUAUCCAACCUGCCCACCACUUGGGGAUAACCUUGCGAAAGUAAGACUAAUACCCAAUGACGUCUCUAGAAGACAUCUGAAAGAGAUUAAAGAUUUAUCGGUGAUGGAUGGGGAUGCGUCUGAUUAGCUUGUUGGCGGGGUAACGGCCCACCAAGGCGACGAUCAGUAGGGGGUUCUGAGAGGAAGGUCCCCCACAUUGGAACUGAGACACGGUCCAAACUCCUACGGGAGGCAGCAGUGAGGAAUAUUGGUCAAUGGACGAGAGUCUGAACCAGCCAAGUAGCGUGAAGGAUGAAGGUCCUACGGAUUGUAAACUUCUUUUAUAAGGGAAUAAAACCUCCCACGUGUGGGAGCUUGUAUGUACCUUAUGAAUAAGCAUCGGCUAACUCCGUG
This 493-nucleotide ribosomal RNA is filed under the name uncultured bacterium. RNAcentral's name for it is "bacterial SSU rRNA". It matches the Rfam family "Bacterial small subunit ribosomal RNA", at positions 28 to 507 of the family's 1533-position model. The record is from RNAcentral.